AGCGAACGCUGGCGGCAGGCCUAACACAUGCAAGUCGAGCGGCCGUAGCAAUACGGCAGCGGCAGACGGGAGAGUAACACGUGGGAACGUACCCUUUGGUUCGGAACAACCCAGGGAAACUUGGGCUAAUACCGGAUAAGUCCGUAAGGAGAAAGGUUUAUCGCCAAAGGAUCGGCCCGCGUCUGAUUAGCUAGUUGGUGAGGUAAUGGCUCAUCAAGGCGACGAUCAGUAGCUGGUCUGAGAGGAUGAUCAGCCGCACUGGGACUGAGACACGGACCAGACUCCUACGGGGGGCAGCAGUGGGGAAUAUUGGACAAUGGGCGCAAGCGUGGUCCAGCCAUGCGGCGUGGAUGAUGAAGGCCGUAGGGUUGUAAAGUCCUUUCGGCGGGGAAGAUAAUGACGGUACCCGCAGAAGAAGCCCCGGCUAACUUCGUGCCAACCGCCGCCGUAA
RNAcentral lists this ribosomal RNA (451 nucleotides) under uncultured bacterium. RNAcentral's name for it is "partial 16S ribosomal RNA". It matches the Rfam family "Bacterial small subunit ribosomal RNA", at positions 29 to 523 of the family's 1533-position model. The record is from RNAcentral.